GAUGAACGCUGGCGGCGUGCCUAAUACAUGCAAGUCGAGCGAACAGACGAGGAGCUUGCUCCUCUGACGUUAGCGGUGGACGGGUGAGUAACACGUGGAUAACCUACCUAUAAGACUGGGAUAACUUCGGGAAACCGGAGCUAAUACCGGAUAAUAUAUUGAACCGCAUGGUUCAAUAGUGAAAGACGGUUUUGCUGUCACUUAUAGAUGGAUCCGCGCCGCAUUAGCUAGUUGGUAAGGUAACGGCUUACCAAGGCAACGAUGCGUAGCCGACCUGAGAGGGUGAUCGGCCACACUGGAACUGAGACACGGUCCAGACUCCUACGGGAGGCAGCAGUAGGGAAUCUUCCGCAAGGGGCGAAAGCUUGACGGAGCAACGCCGCGUGAGUGAUGAAGGUCUUCGGAUCGUAAAACUCUGUUAUUAGGGAAGAACAAAUGUGUAAGUAACUAUGCACGUCUUGACGGUACCUAAGCAGAAAGCCACGGCUAACUACGG
This 496-nucleotide ribosomal RNA is filed under the name uncultured bacterium. Its description in RNAcentral is "partial 16S ribosomal RNA". It matches the Rfam family "Bacterial small subunit ribosomal RNA", at positions 28 to 506 of the family's 1533-position model. The record is from RNAcentral.